GUGCCAGCAGCCGCGGUAAUACCGGCAGCCCAAGUGAUGUCCCAUAUUAUUGGGCCUAAAGCGUCCGUAGCUGGCUGACCAAGUCCCCCGGGAAAUCCCCCCGCCCAACGGGUGGGCGUCCGGCGGAAACUGGACGGCUUGGAACCGGAAGGCUCAGAGAGUACGUCCGGGGUAGGAGUGAAAUCCCGUAAUCCCGGACGGACUACCGAUGGCGAAAGCACUCUGAGAAGACGGCUUCGACAGUGAGGGACGAAAGCUCGGGUCUCAAACCGGAUUAGAAACCCUUGUAGUCC
Molecule: ribosomal RNA, 293 nt
Filed under: uncultured bacterium
Lineage: Bacteria
Description: partial 16S ribosomal RNA
Rfam family: Archaeal small subunit ribosomal RNA
Source: RNAcentral